GCCAGGUGUGGUGGCUCAUGCCUGUAAUCCCAGCACUUUGGGAGGCUGAGGCAGGUGGAUCGCCUGAGGUCAGGAGUUCAAGACCAGCCUGGCCAACAUGGCGAAAUCCUGUCUCUA
RNAcentral lists this non-coding RNA (117 nucleotides) under Gorilla gorilla gorilla (western lowland gorilla). Lineage: Eukaryota; Metazoa; Chordata; Mammalia; Primates; Hominidae. The record is from Rfam by way of RNAcentral.